GAUGAACGCUGGCGGCGUGCUUAACACAUGCAAGUCGAACGGAAAGGCUCCUGCUUGCAGGGGUACUCGAGUGGCGAACGGGUGAGUAACACGUGGGUGAUCUGCCCUGCACUUCGGGAUAAGCCUGGGAAACUGGGUCUAAUACCGGAUAGGACGAUGGUUUGGAUGCCAUUGUGGAAAGUUUUUCGGUGUGGGAUGAGCUCGCGGCCUAUCAGCUUGUUGGUGGGGUAAUGGCCUACCAAGGCAUCGACGGGUAGCCGGCCUGAGAGGGUGUACGGCCACAUUGGGACUGAGAUACGGCCCAGACUCCUACGGGAGGCAGCAGUGGGGAAUAUUGCACAAUGGGCGCAAGCCUGAUGCAGCGACGCCGCGUGGGGGAUGACGGCCUUCGGGUUGUAAACUCCUUUCGCUAGGGACGAAGCGCAAGUGACGGUACCUGGAGAAGAAGCACCGGCUAACUACGUG
This 465-nucleotide ribosomal RNA is filed under the name uncultured bacterium. Its description in RNAcentral is "partial 16S ribosomal RNA". It matches the Rfam family "Bacterial small subunit ribosomal RNA", at positions 28 to 507 of the family's 1533-position model. The record is from RNAcentral.